Molecule: non-coding RNA, 338 nt
Organism: Pelobates cultripes (western spadefoot toad)
Lineage: Eukaryota; Metazoa; Chordata; Amphibia; Anura; Pelobatidae
Source: the annotation of a GenBank genome assembly
UCUAACCCGGUCCUUCAUUUACGGUCCGGGAGUGAUUUUUGGCAGCUGCUUUUGGCGGGAUCGGUAUCCUCUGCACUUCUUGUGUCCAGGAGUUGGUGUGCUCCCAUCACCUUACCUGAAGGUCGGACGAACAGGGUAAGUUGCUCUGGCUGACCCCCAGAGUAUUUUUUACUUGGGGAUAUUCUCACUGCAACUCCCUUAGUCCUGACCAGGUGGUUUGGCUGGUUUAUGAGCUCCCUCCAGCAGAGAUAGUGUAUGAGUCUGGGUAUUGUUUUUCAAAUUGUUUCUACCUUCAUUUUUAUAUAUUACUUUUUAUAUGUGCACAUUUCUAGUUCCAG